This is a small nuclear RNA of Anolis sagrei ordinatus, 129 nucleotides long. The record is from RefSeq and is a predicted model, not a curated record. NCBI's taxonomy places the organism in Eukaryota, Metazoa, Chordata, Lepidosauria, Squamata, Anolidae.
UUAUUUUAAGAAAGGAGAGAAGAUUAACACUUACUUCAAUCCAGAUAGAAGAGGCCAUGGUGUGCUGUAAACACAUGCAUAUGGUUAAGGCAUUGCAGCUUACUUUGUGACAACAAAUUUGGUGACUUU